AGUGAACGCUGGCGGUAGGCCUAACACAUGCAAGUCGAACGGCAGCACAGUAAGAGCUUGCUCUUACGGGUGGCGAGUGGCGGACGGGUGAGGAAUACAUCGGAAUCUACUUUUUCGUGGGGGAUAACGUAGGGAAACUUACGCUAAUACCGCAUACGACCUACGGGUGAAAGCAGGGGAUCUUCGGACCUUGCGCGAUUGAAUGAGCCGAUGUCGGAUUAGCUAGUUGGCGGGGUAAAGGCCCACCAAGGCGACGAUCCGUAGCUGGUCUGAGAGGAUGAUCGGCCACACUGGAACUGAGACACGGUCCAGACUCCUACGGGAGGCAGCAGUGUGGAAUAUUGGACAAUGGGCGCAAGCCUGGUCCAGCCAUACCGCGUGGGUUAAGAAGGCCUUCGGGUUGUAAAGCCCUUUUGUUGGGAAAGAAAAGCAGCAGGUUAAUACCCCGCUGUUCUGACGGUACCCAAAGAAUAAGCACCGGCUAACUUCGUG
Molecule: ribosomal RNA, 492 nt
Filed under: uncultured bacterium
Lineage: Bacteria
Description: partial 16S ribosomal RNA
Rfam family: Bacterial small subunit ribosomal RNA
Source: RNAcentral